AGGGUUGUAGCUCAAUGGCAAAGCAUCUGCUUUGCAUGCAGAAGGUCCCAGGUUCAAUCCCCAGCGUCUCCA
RNAcentral lists this transfer RNA (72 nucleotides) under Podarcis lilfordi (Lilford's wall lizard). It matches the Rfam family "tRNA". From Rfam's summary of the family: Transfer RNA (tRNA) molecules are approximately 80 nucleotides in length. Their secondary structure includes four short double-helical elements and three loops (D, anti-codon, and T loops). The record is from Rfam by way of RNAcentral. Lineage: Eukaryota; Metazoa; Chordata; Lepidosauria; Squamata; Lacertidae.